UGGCUUAACAGCAGGUAUACUAAAAUUGGAACAAUACAGAGAGGAUUAGCAUGGCCCCUGCACAAGGAUAACAUGCAAAUUUUUCCAUAUUUUU
Small nuclear RNA from Microcebus murinus (gray mouse lemur), 94 nucleotides. The record is from Ensembl. NCBI's taxonomy places the organism in Eukaryota, Metazoa, Chordata, Mammalia, Primates, Cheirogaleidae.